Molecule: unclassified non-coding RNA, 378 nt
Filed under: Hevea brasiliensis (rubber tree)
Lineage: Eukaryota; Viridiplantae; Streptophyta; Magnoliopsida; Malpighiales; Euphorbiaceae
Source: RNAcentral
AGAGAAUUCUUCACUCUCCGCCUCCUCAUUCUCAUGCCACCGUAUACAGCCUCUCUUGCUUAGCAGUUAGACCGUUUCGGCCUUCACCCCCAUCUCUGUUACACUUGUUUUCUCUAUGUGCUUAGACCCAUCAACCUUGCUGGCAAUCAGCCGUCUCUCACUUUAAUCAGUGUCUAUUUAAACCUCCCCUCUCUUCUUUUCCUCCUUCUUCUUCUGCUUCUUCUUUUCUUCUUCUUCUUCACGAUUCCUUUGAAACCCUCUCUCUUAUUGUUAGUCAUUCUGUUUCAGUCUUUUUUCUCUUCAUUUCCAUAUAUUUGCGUUUCUAUCGGUUUCGGCUCCUUAACAUGAAUUUCUCUUCUACAAGGAAAAAUUUACCCA